This 119-nucleotide ribosomal RNA is filed under the name Pteropus alecto (black flying fox). The record is from RNAcentral. Lineage: Eukaryota; Metazoa; Chordata; Mammalia; Chiroptera; Pteropodidae.
GUCUACGGCCAUGCCAUCCUGAACAUGUCUGAUCUCGUCUGAUCUCAGAAGCUAGGCAGGGUCGGGCCUGGUUAGUACUUAGAUGGGAGACCACCUAGGAAGACCACGUGCUGUAGGCA